This 424-nucleotide ribosomal RNA is filed under the name uncultured bacterium. RNAcentral's name for it is "partial 16S ribosomal RNA". It matches the Rfam family "Bacterial small subunit ribosomal RNA", at positions 354 to 796 of the family's 1533-position model. The record is from RNAcentral.
GUUAGGAAUAUUGGACAAUGGGCGCAAGCCUGAUCCAGCCAUGCCGCGUGAACGAUGAAGGCCUUCGGGUUGUAAAGUUCUUUAGCCGAUGAUUAUAAUGACUGUAGUCGGAAAAUAAGCCCCGGCUAACUUCGUGCCAGCAGCCGCGGUAAUACGAAGGGGGCGAGCGUUAUUCGGAAUCACUGGGCGUAAAGCGUGCGUAGGCGGUCUCGUAAGUUAGGAGUGAAAGCCCAGGGCUCAACCUUGGAAUUGCUCUUAAUACUGCAAGGCUAGAAUCUCGGAGAGGAUAGCGGAAUUUCCAGUGUAGCAGUGAAAUGCGUAGAUAUUGGAAGGAACACCAGUGGCGUAAGCGGCUAUCUGGACGAGUAUUGACGCUGAGGCACGAAAGCGUGGGGAUCAAACAGGAUUAGAUACCCAGUAGUCC